AGAGGAGCCAAGCGUUGUCCGGAUUGACUGGGCGUAAAGCGCACGCAGGCGGCACCGCGCGUGGGGUGUGAAAUCUGGCCGCUUAACGGCCAGGCGCCAUCCCAUACGGCGGAGCUGGAGCGAUGCAGAGGUCGAUGGAAUUGCCGGUGUAGUGGUGAAAUGCGUAGAGAUCGGCAGGAACACCCAGGGGGAAACCAGUCGACUGGGCAUUUGCUGACGCUGAGGUGCGAGAGCGUGGGGAGCGAACCGGAUUAGAUACCCGGGUAGUCCACGCCGUAAACGAUGGCCACUCGGCCUUUGGAGGCGGAAUCUCCGUCUUUGGGGGCCUUAGCUAACGCGGGAAGUGGCCCGCCUGGGAACUACGAGCGCAAGCUUA
RNAcentral lists this ribosomal RNA (376 nucleotides) under uncultured bacterium. RNAcentral's name for it is "bacterial SSU rRNA". It matches the Rfam family "Bacterial small subunit ribosomal RNA", at positions 527 to 896 of the family's 1533-position model. The record is from RNAcentral.